UGUAAUACUAUUAGAAGUAUUAGAACAAAUUAAAUUAUUUUUAGAAAAUAUUUUAAUUUGUUUUUAUUUCAAGUAGAAACACUACUAUAUAAAUUAUAAACUAAAAUAAAUGUCAUAUACUAAGAAAAAGUGACCAAGGCCUCCAGUGCCCCAGGCUGGAAUCGAACCAGCGUCCUCUGCUAUCGCGGCAGGUGCCUGAGCCACUCGGCCACCGGGGUCACGGCAGCAUUGGUCGAAUUUUUCCAAGUAUAUGCAUCUCUUACUGAAGGCUUAGGCGCCCCCUAGCCAUCUCUAAGGUAGAACAUUCUUAAAUUAUAAUAUCCCGUUCUUCACGCUCAACUCAUAAAAAAGAAACGAGAUUUCCCGUCACUAUAAUCAUGAUUAAUAAUUAAUUAUUAUAUACAUGUCUUUACCCAUCACGAAACAAUUUUUCUUGCCCAAAUUGGGAACUUGACGACAAAACGACAACAAAAUAAAAAUGUGCCCUAGAGUAGCUUAUUAAGUUUCUGUUUCGGUUUGUGUAAAAUAUGCUGUUAAUACUGAAAAAGUAAAACUGACACUUUUUAGGGCUUAUUGCCAGACGUUUUACACGUGCGGCCUGUGGGUAAGUUUCACACAGAAGGCCUAUAAUACACUGCGUGUGCAAUACAACAACGUCCUUAGAAUGCUGUUGAGGCGACCUAAACACUGCAGCGCAUCGGGCAUGUUCGCCGAGGCUAGAACCGACGACUUCUUUGCCAUAAGGCGAAAAAGAAUUGCCUCACUGCUUGGGAGAGUGCGCGGAAGCAGCAACAGCAUGCUAAGGACGUUGGCCGAUCGCCUCGAC
This is a long non-coding RNA of Cydia pomonella (codling moth), 826 nucleotides long. RefSeq lists it as uncharacterized. The record is from RefSeq and is a predicted model, not a curated record. Lineage: Eukaryota; Metazoa; Arthropoda; Insecta; Lepidoptera; Tortricidae. The transcript is spliced from 2 exons.